CCUACGGGAGGCAGCAGUGGGGAAUCUUGCGCAAUGGGCGAAAGCCUGACGCAGCGAUGCCGCGUGCGGGAUGAAGGCCUUCGGGUUGUAAACCGCUUUCAGCAGGGACGAAAUUGACGGUACCUGCAGAAGAAGCCCCGGCCAACUACGUGCCAGCAGCCGCGGUAAUACGUAGGGGGCGAGCGUUGUCCGGAUUUAUUGGGCGUAAAGAGCUCGUAGGCGGUUCGAUAAGUCGGAUGUGAAAUCUCCACGCUCAACGUGGAGAGGCCAUUCGAUACUGUCGUGACUAGAGUCCGGUAGGGGAGUGUGGAAUUCCCGGUGUAGCGGUGAAAUGCGCAGAGAUCGGGAGGAACACCCGUAGCGAAGGCGGCACUCUGGGCCGGUACUGACGCUGAGGAGCGAAAGCGUGGGGAGCAAACAGGAUUAGAUACCCUGGUAGUCCACGCCGUAAACGUUGGGCACUAGGUGUGGGACUCUAUCGACGGGUUCCGUGCCGUAGCUAACGCAUUAAGUGCCCGCCUGGGGAGGUACGGCGCGAGACGAAACGUACGAAGAAGUAGACGGCGUGAGACGUUGCGACGGCGACGACGAGGGAGGAGG
This 600-nucleotide ribosomal RNA is filed under the name uncultured bacterium. RNAcentral's name for it is "bacterial SSU rRNA". The stretch from base 1 to 520 matches the Rfam family "Bacterial small subunit ribosomal RNA", at positions 338 to 873 of the family's 1533-position model. The record is from RNAcentral.